GACGAACGCUGGCGGCGUGCUUAACACAUGCAAGUCGAACGGAAAGGCCCUGCUUUUGUGGGGUGCUCGAGUGGCGAACGGGUGAGUAACACGUGAGUAACCUGCCCUUGACUUUGGGAUAACUUCAGGAAACUGGGGCUAAUACCGGAUAGGAUCUCCUGCUGCAUGGUGGGGGUUGGAAAGUUUCGGCGGUUGGGGAUGGACUCGCGGCUUAUCAGCUUGUUGGUGGGGGAGGGGAUUACCAAGGCUUUGACGGGUAGCCGGCCUGAGAGGGUGAACGGCCACCAUGGGACUGCGAUACGGCCCAGACUCCUACGGGAGACAGCAGUGGGGAGUAUUGCACAAUGGGCGCAAGCCUGAUGAGGAAACGCUGCGUGCGGGAUGACGGCCUUCGGGUUGUAAACCGCUUUCGCCUGUGACGAAGCGUGAGUGACGGUACUGGAUAAAGAAGCACCGGCUAACUACGUG
Molecule: ribosomal RNA, 468 nt
Filed under: uncultured bacterium
Lineage: Bacteria
Description: partial 16S ribosomal RNA
Rfam family: Bacterial small subunit ribosomal RNA
Source: RNAcentral